Long non-coding RNA from Patella vulgata (common limpet), 983 nucleotides. RefSeq lists it as uncharacterized. Lineage: Eukaryota; Metazoa; Mollusca; Gastropoda; Patellidae. The transcript is spliced from 3 exons. The record is from RefSeq and is a predicted model, not a curated record.
CAGAAAGAAGGAAUCUAUAUCUACCCGGAUCUCUCAUUAAAAAUGAAUUGUUACACAAGUUUACUGAUACUAGUCACGUGGUGUUUUACACCGCUUCUAGCAGAUGAGUGUGUAUUAAAUGUAUGUCCUAGUUCAGCAUUUGGUAUGUAUCGUCACUGUUCAGAUUGUACCAUUUUUGUGAUGUGUGUUGGCAGUAUGGUAAUACCUAUAGGCUGUCCAGUUGGUCUGAGAUACGAUACGUCACUAGCAGUUUGUAACUAUGCCAGUCAAACCCCAUGUGUGACUGGCAUUUCAUCGAACCCUACCUCACCAACGUCAGUCACGUCGCCUACAUCAAUGACAUCACCAACAUCGGUCACAUCGCCAACGUCGAUUACAUCGCCAACAUCGAUGACGUCACAAACGUCAGCUACUUCGCCUACCGCAGUGACCUCCCCGACAUCCGCUACCAGCAUGACAUCACCAACAUCGGUCACAUCGCCAACGUCAGCUACUUCGCCUACCUCAGUGACCUCCCCGACAUCCGGCACCAGCCCCACCUCACCCUCGCCAUGUAUUAUAAAUUGUUUCGGAAAGAAUAAUGGGGAUUUCCAAUCUUGUUUUUCAUGUAACACGUAUGCUACGUGUUCCAAUGGAACUUUAAUUGAUAAGAGACCAUGUGCGGGCAGCCUUGUAUGGGAUGAUUUGGCCAAGGUAUGCCAACAAACGUCAUCAACAUGUAGAUAGAUUAAGAAAUGCAAAAUUGCGAAAUAAUUCUUAUAAAUAUGUUGGUGCCACAAACAUUCUGUAUUUAUAUUAAAAUAUAAGAGAUAAAAAAGAAAAAAAGAAAUUAAUAUUAUGUAGUUGAGAUAUGUCUGUGUAUUUUCCUCUCCUAGUACAAGGAUCGCAUUAACUUUAUGUUUUACAAUCUAUAUUUUCACGUUUUAGUUCAGUCUAGUGUAAUUAUGUGUUAUCUAUAACCCGUUCCUUGUGUAUGACCUCAC